This 921-nucleotide ribosomal RNA is filed under the name Exserohilum rostratum. RNAcentral describes it as "partial large subunit ribosomal RNA". It matches the Rfam family "Eukaryotic large subunit ribosomal RNA", at positions 76 to 1018 of the family's 3401-position model. Lineage: Eukaryota; Fungi; Ascomycota; Dothideomycetes; Pleosporales; Pleosporaceae. The record is from RNAcentral.
UGCCCUAGUAACGGCGAGUGAAGCGGCAACAGCUCAAAUUUGAAAUCUGGCUCUUUCAGAGUCCGAGUUGUAAUUUGCAGAGGGCGCUUUGGCUUUGGCAGCGGUCCAAGUUCCUUGGAACAGGACGUCACAGAGGGUGAGAAUCCCGUACGUGGUCGCUAGCUAUUGCCGUGUAAAGCCCCUUCGACGAGUCGAGUUGUUUGGGAAUGCAGCUCUAAAUGGGAGGUAAAUUUCUUCUAAAGCUAAAUAUUGGCCAGAGACCGAUAGCGCACAAGUAGAGUGAUCGAAAGAUGAAAAGCACUUUGGAAAGAGAGUCAAACAGCACGUGAAAUUGUUGAAAGGGAAGCGCUUGCAGCCAGACUUGCUUGCAGUUGCUCAUCCGGGCUUUUGCCCGGUGCACUCUUCUGCAGGCAGGCCAGCAUCAGUUUGGGCGGUGGGAUAAAGGUCUCUGUCAUGUACCUCUCUUCGGGGAGGCCUUAUAGGGGAGGCGACAUACCACCAGCCUAGACUGAGGUCCGCGCAUCUGCUAGGAUGCUGGCGUAAUGGCUGUAAGCGGCCCGUCUUGAAACACGGACCAAGGAGUCUAACAUCUAUGCGAGUGUUUGGGUGUCAAGCCCGAGCGCGUAAUGAAAGUGAACGGAGGUGGGAACCCGCAAGGGUGCACCAUCGACCGAUCCUGAAGUUUACGGAAGGAUUUGAGUAAGAGCAUGGCUGUUGGGACCCGAAAGAUGGUGAACUAUGCUUGAAUAGGGUGAAGCCAGAGGAAACUCUGGUGGAGGCUCGCAGCGGUUCUGACGUGCAAAUCGAUCGUCAAAUUUGGGCAUAGGGGCGAAAGACUAAUCGAACUAUCUAGUAGCUGGUUCCUGCCGAAUUCCCCCGCAAGAAAAAAGAAAAAGAGCGCCCUCUCGAUAUGAGGAGAAU